This 264-nucleotide long non-coding RNA is filed under the name Mytilus galloprovincialis (Mediterranean mussel). The record is from RNAcentral. Lineage: Eukaryota; Metazoa; Mollusca; Bivalvia; Mytilida; Mytilidae.
UGGAUAAUAUAUUUUUAUUGCACUCUAUUGCUGUUAACAAUUUACUUAGUGUACAGCAUUGCACUAAGUAUCCCUGAUAUAUUAGUUAUUAGGUAUCCAGGGAGAAUAUCUAAUAAAAGUAAAUUGAUGUUACAUUACAAUAUUACAAUAUUUUAAAUGAUUUCAUGUUUACCGGAGAAUUUCACUUCCGUCCGAUAGUGGUUUUUAAUAUUAGAUAAAUGUGCAUCGUAUUUGCCAUCAUCAUCUUUGUGAUUUGGAUAAAUU